Molecule: ribosomal RNA, 549 nt
Filed under: Ceratorhiza oryzae-sativae
Lineage: Eukaryota; Fungi; Basidiomycota; Agaricomycetes; Cantharellales; Ceratobasidiaceae
Description: eukaryotic LSU rRNA
Rfam family: Eukaryotic large subunit ribosomal RNA
Source: RNAcentral
UAUCAAUAAGCGGAGGAAAAGAAACUAACAAGGAUUCCCCUAGUAACGGCGAGUGAAGCGGGAAGAGCUCAAAUUUAAAAUCUGGCGGUGUAUUCCGUCCGAGUUGUAGUCUAGAGAAGCAUCAUCCGCGCCGGACCAUGUACAAGUCUCUUGGAACAGAGCGUCAUAGAGGGUGAGAAUCCCGUCCUUGACAUGGACUCCCGGUGCUUUGUGUUGUGCUCUCAACGAGUCGAGUUGUUUGGGAAUGCAGCUCAAAAUGGGUGGUAAAUUCCAUCUAAAGCUAAAUAUUGGCGAGAGACCGAUAGCGAACAAGUACCGUGAGGGAAAGAUGAAAAGCACUUUGGAGAGAGAGUUAAACAGUACGUGAAAUUGUUGAAAUGGAAACGCUUGAAGUCAGUCGCGUUCUCUGGGACUCAGCCUUGCUUCUGCUUGGUGUAUUUCCUAGUCUACGGGCCAGUAUGAAUUUCGACCGAUAGAAAAGGGCUGGAGGAAUGUGGCACCUUCGGGUGUGUUAUAGCCUCCUGUCGCAUGUGUCGGUUGGGAUUGAGG